AACCAUGCUAAUACUGAUGUCUUGUGACUGAAUCAAAGUUAUGUGUCUGAGGGA
Molecule: small nucleolar RNA, 54 nt
Filed under: Arabidopsis thaliana (thale cress)
Lineage: Eukaryota; Viridiplantae; Streptophyta; Magnoliopsida; Brassicales; Brassicaceae
Description: partial small nucleolar RNA snoR58Y
Rfam family: Small nucleolar RNA snoR53Y
Source: RNAcentral